GAAGUUCUGAGGUGUACGAUAUAUUCUCAAUGUGUUGACCGAACAAAUAAUUACUAUAUUGGGAUCCUUGAUUUAUGUUGGAUAGCAAGCCAUGUCAUGUGGAAGCUAGCAAGACAUUCUGUGGAGCCCACCUGCUAAUACUGCGGGUUCAAAACUAGUAGAAUAACAUAAACCGGCACCAUCGGAUUUUCU
Non-coding RNA from Jeotgalibaca sp. PTS2502, 192 nucleotides. It matches the Rfam family "6S / SsrS RNA". Rfam says of the family: E. coli 6S RNA was the first non coding RNA to be sequenced, but its function was unknown until recently. The record is from Rfam. NCBI's taxonomy places the organism in Bacteria, Bacillati, Bacillota, Bacilli, Lactobacillales, Carnobacteriaceae.